AGCAUGGUCUUAGCUUGCUAAGGCCGAUGGCGACCGGCGCACGGGUGAGUAACACGUAUCCAACCUGCCGUCUACUCUUGGACAGCCUUCUGAAAGGAAGAUUAAUACAAGAUGGCAUCAUGAGUCCGCAUGUUCACAUGAUUAAAGGUAUUCCGGUAGACGAUGGGGAUGCGUUCCAUUAGAUAGUAGGCGGGGUAACGGCCCACCUAGUCUUCGAUGGAUAGGGGUUCUGAGAGGAAGGUCCCCCACAUUGGAACUGAGACACGGUCCAAACUCCUACGGGAGGCAGCAGUGAGGAAUAUUGGUCAAUGGGCGAGAGCCUGAACCAGCCAAGUAGCGUGAAGGAUGACUGCCCUAUGGGUUGUAAACUUCUUUUAUAAAGGAAUAAAGUCGGGUAUGGAUACCCGUUUGCAUGUACUUUAUGAAUAAGGAUCGGCUAACUCCGUGCCAGCAGCCGCGGUAAUACGGAGGAUCCGAGCGUUAUCCGGAUUUAUUGGGUUUAAAGGGAGCGUAGAUGGAUGUUUAAGUCAGUUGUGAAAGUUUGCGGCUCAACCGUAAAAUUGCAGUUGAUACUGGAUAUCUUGAGUGCAGUUGAGGCAGGCGGAAUUCGUGGUGUAGCGGUGAAAUGCUUAGAUAUCACGAAGAACUCCGAUUGCGAAGGCAGCCUGCUAAGCUGCAACUGACAUUGAGGCU
RNAcentral lists this ribosomal RNA (693 nucleotides) under uncultured Bacteroidales bacterium. Its description in RNAcentral is "bacterial SSU rRNA". It matches the Rfam family "Bacterial small subunit ribosomal RNA", at positions 68 to 753 of the family's 1533-position model. The record is from RNAcentral. Lineage: Bacteria; Pseudomonadati; Bacteroidota; Bacteroidia; Bacteroidales.